This 1089-nucleotide ribosomal RNA is filed under the name Lactobacillus jensenii. RNAcentral's name for it is "partial 16S ribosomal RNA". Lineage: Bacteria; Bacillati; Bacillota; Bacilli; Lactobacillales; Lactobacillaceae. The record is from RNAcentral.
GRACGCAAGUCUGAUGGAGCAAMGCCGCSUGAGKGAARAAGGUUUCGGAUCGUAAAGCUCURUKUUGGUGAAGAAGGAUAGAGGUAGUAAMUGGCCUUWUUUGAMGGUAAUCAACCAGAAAGUCACGGCUAASUACGURCCAGCAASCGCGGUAAWWMRUAGGUGGCAAGCGUUGUCCGGAUUUAUUGGGCGUAAAGCGAGCGCAGGCGGAUUGAUAAGUCUGAUGUGAAAGCCUUCGGSUCAACCGAAGAACUGCAUCAGAAACUGUCAAUCUUGAGUGCAGAAGAGGAGAGUGGAACUCCAUGUGUAGCGGUGGAAWGCGUAGAUAUAUGGAAGAACACCAGUGGCGAAGGCGGCUCUCWGGUCUGUAACUGACGMUGAGGCUCGAAAGCAUGGGUAGCGAACAGGAUUAGAUACCCUGGUAGUCCAUGCCGUAAACGAUGAGUGCUAAGUGUUGGGAGGUUUCCGCCUCUCAGUGMUGCAGCUAACGCAUUAAGCACUCCGCCUGGGGAGUACGACCGCAAGGUUGAAACUCAAAGGAAUUGACGGGGGCCCGCACAAGCGGUGGAGCAUGUGGUUUAAUUMGAAGCAACGCGAAGAACCUUACCAGGUCUUGACAUCCUUUGACCACCUAAGAGAUUAGGUUUUCCCUUCGGGGACAAAGAGACAGGUGGUGCAUGGCUGUCGUCAGCUCGUGUCGUGAGAUGUUGGGUUAAGUCCCGCAACGAGCGCAACCCUUGUUAAUAGUUGCCAGCAUUAAGUUGGGCACUCUAUUGAGACUGCCGGUGACAAACCGGAGGAAGGUGGGGAUGACGUCAAGUCAUCAUGCCCCUUAUGACCUGGGCUACACACGUGCUACAAUGGGCAGUACAACGAGAAGCGAACCUGUGAAGGCAAGCGGAUCUCUUAAAGCUGUUCUCAGUUCGGACUGUAGGCUGCAACUCGCCUACACGAAGCUGGAAUCGCUAGUAAUCGCGGAUCAGCACGCCGCGGUGAAUACGUUCCCGGGCCUUGUACACACCGMMCGUCACACCAUGAGAGUUUGUAACACSRCAAAAGUCGGUGARGUAACCUUGGAGCCAGCCCGCC